CUGCUGCCUUCCGUAGGAGUCUGGGCCGUGUCUCAGUCCCAGUGUGGGGGGCCUUCCUCUCAGAACCCCUACGCAUCGUCGCCACGGUGGGCCGUCACCCCGCCGUCUAGCUAAUGCGCCGCAUGCCCAUCCGCCACCGGAUCGCUCCUUUGGCCACCGGAGGAUGCCCUCCGGUGGCGUCACGGGGUAUUAGGCCGCGUUUCCGCGGGUUAUCCCCCUGUGGCGGCCAGGUUGCAUACGUGUUACUCACCCGUGCGCCGGUCGCCGGCGGG
This 272-nucleotide ribosomal RNA is filed under the name uncultured bacterium. RNAcentral describes it as "partial 16S ribosomal RNA". The record is from RNAcentral.